Molecule: long non-coding RNA, 657 nt
Filed under: Elaeis guineensis (African oil palm)
Lineage: Eukaryota; Viridiplantae; Streptophyta; Magnoliopsida; Arecales; Arecaceae
Description: long non-coding RNA (EGUI_LNC055176)
Source: RNAcentral
CCCACCCUAUCUCCGAUACAUCUGAUUCUGAUCCAUCCAGUCAUGAGCUCUACUAGAUCCUUGUAGUUAGUCUUGUCUUUUGUCUCUUUCUAGGAUCUAUCUUUUGGGCCAUGUAAUGAUGUUGACUGAUUAACUUUUAUAUUUUGGUGUUUAUAUUGGAACCACUAUGUGGUAUCAGUCACUUUUUGAUUAUAUAUCUACUCCUUGACUUUUAAUGUAUGACCUUCAAAUUGGGUCACUUUCAAUUGUAUGCAUGCUUAAAAUACUAUGAAUUGCUAUUUCAUAUCUAUGAUAUCCAAUGGUAUAUUCUUUUAUGAUUGUUGUAUUCAGGGGGAGUAAACAUUAAUGCUAGUAAAAUUACUGUUAGUAAAAGAAGCUAAAGAAGUAAUAUUAGUAAAAUUAUUUCCAUCAAAAGAAAGAAAAAGAGAAAAUAUAUUCAAAGAAAAAGGGAGAGUAAACAAUCUUUUGUUGAUGAUGUCAAAAAGGGGGAGAAAUGCUAUACCAAAAUGAAAGAAUCAAAAGCAAAUUGAUGAAAGAAUCAAAAGUAGAUUAAUAAAAGAAUUAAAAGCAAAAUGAGUAAAUUGAUGAAAGAAUCAAAAGCAGAUUAAUAAAAGAAUUAAAAGCAAAAUGAGUAAAUUGUUUAAGCAAAAGCAAAUG